RNAcentral lists this transfer RNA (67 nucleotides) under Marmota monax (woodchuck). RNAcentral's name for it is "tRNA.Ala". The record is from RNAcentral. Lineage: Eukaryota; Metazoa; Chordata; Mammalia; Rodentia; Sciuridae.
GGUUGUAGCUCAGUGGUACAGCACUUGCCUUGCAUGAAGGAGGCCCUGGGUUUGAUCCUUAGCGCCA